UACGGGGGGGGCAAGCGUUGUUCGGAAUUACUGGGCGUAAAGGGCUUGUAGGCGGCUUGCUAAGUCAGACGUGAAAUCCCUCAGCUUAACUGGGGAACUGCGUCUGAUACUGGCGAGCUUGAGUGCAGGGGAGGAACGCGGAAUUCCAGGUGUAGCGGUGAAAUGCGUAGAUAUCUGGAGGAACACCGGUGGCGAAGGCGGCGUUCUGGACUGUAACUGACACUGAGAAACGAAAGCCAGGGUAGCAAACGGG
RNAcentral lists this ribosomal RNA (253 nucleotides) under uncultured bacterium. RNAcentral's name for it is "partial 16S ribosomal RNA". It matches the Rfam family "Bacterial small subunit ribosomal RNA", at positions 524 to 776 of the family's 1533-position model. The record is from RNAcentral.